Molecule: ribosomal RNA, 429 nt
Filed under: Gemmatimonadota bacterium
Lineage: Bacteria; Pseudomonadati; Gemmatimonadota
Description: Gemmatimonadetes bacterium partial 16S ribosomal RNA
Rfam family: Bacterial small subunit ribosomal RNA
Source: RNAcentral
UAGGGAAUCUUCGGCAAUGGACGAAAGUCUGACCGAGCAACGCCGCGUGAGUGAAGAAGGUUUUCGGAUCGUAAAACUCUGUUGUUAGAGAAGAACAAGGACGUUAGUAACUGAACGUACCCUGACGGUAUCUAACCAGAAAGCCACGGCUAACUACGUGCCAGCAGCCGCGGUAAUACGUAGGUGGCAAGCGUUGUCCGGAUGUAUUGGGCGUAAAGCGAGCGCAGGCGGUUUCUUAAGUCUGAUGUGAAAGCCCCCGGCUCAACCGGGGAAGGUCAUUGGAAACUGGGAGACUUGAGUGCAGAAGAGGAGAGUGGAAUUCCAUGUGUAGCGGUGAAAUGCGUAGAUAUAUGGAGGAACACCAGUGGCGAAGGCGGCUCUCUGGUCUGUAACUGACGCUGAGGCUCGAAAGCGUGGGGAGCAAACAGG